UUAAGCGACUAAGCGUACACGGUGGAUGCCCUGGCAGUCAGAGGCGAUGAAGGACGUGCUAAUCUGCGAAAAGCGUCGGUAAGGUGAUAUGAACCGUUAUAACCGGCGAUGUCCGAAUGGGGAAACCCAGUGCAAUUCGUUGCACUAUCGUUAACUGAAUACAUAGGUUAACGAGGCGAACCGGGGGAACUGAAACAUCUAAGUACCCCGAGGAAAAGAAAUCAACCGAGAUUCCCCCAGUAGCGGCGAGCGAACGGGGAGCAGCCCAGAGUCUGAAUCAGCUUGUGUGUUAGUGGAACGGUCUGGAAAGUCCGACGGUACAGGGUGAUAGUCCCGUACACCAAAAUGCACAGGUUGUGAACUCGAAGAGUAGGGCGGGACACGUGGUAUCCUGUCUGAAUAUGGGGGGACCAUCCUCCAAGGCUAAAUACUCCUGACUGACCGAUAGUGAACCAGUACCGUGAGGGAAAGGCGAAAAGAACCCCGGCGAGGGGAGUGAAAAAGAACCUGAAACCGUGUACGUACAAGCAGUGGGAGCACCUUUAUGGUGUGACUGCGUACCUUUUGUAUAAUGGGUCAGCGACUUAUAUUCUGUAGCAAGGUUAACCGUAUAGGGGAGCCGCAGGGAAACCGAGUCUUAACUGGGCGUUAAGUUGCAGGGUAUAGACCCGAAACCCGGUGAUCUAGCCAUGGGCAGGUUGAAGGUUGGGUAACACUAACUGGAGGACCGAACCGACUAAUGUUGAAAAAUUAGCGGAUGACUUGUGGCUGGGGGUGAAAGGCCAAUCAAACCGGGAGAUAGCUGGUUCUCCCCGAAAGCUAUUUAGGUAGCGCCUCGUGAACUCAUCUUCGGGGGUAGAGCACUGUUUCGGCUAGGGGGUCAUCCCGACUUACCAACCCGAUGCAAACUACGAAUACCGAAGAAUGUUAUCACGGGAGACACACGGCGGGUGCUAACGUCCGUCGUGAAGAGGGAAACAACCCAGACCGCCAGCUAAGGUCCCAAAGUCAUGGUUAAGUGGGAAACGAUGUGGGAAGGCACAGACAGCCAGGAUGUUGGCUUAGAAGCAGCCAUCAUUUAAAGAAAGCGUAAUAGCUCACUGGUCGAGUCGGCCUGCGCGGAAGAUGUAACGGGGCUAAACCAUGCACCGAAGCUGCGGCAGCGACACGAUGUGUUGUUGGGUAGGGGAGCGUUCUGUAAGCCUGCGAAGGUGACCUGUGAGGGUUGCUGGAGGUAUCAGAAGUGCGAAUGCUGACAUAAGUAACGAUAAAGCGGGUGAAAAGCCCGCUCGCCGGAAGACCAAGGGUUCCUGUCCAACGUUAAUCGGGGCAGGGUGAGUCGACCCCUAAGGCGAGGCCGAAAGGCGUAGUCGAUGGGAAACAGGUUAAUAUUCCUGUACUUGGUGUUACUGCGAAGGGGGGACGGAGAAGGCUAUGUUAGCCGGGCGACGGUUGUCCCGGUUUAAGCAUGUAGGCUGGUUAUCCAGGCAAAUCCGGAUAAUCAAGGCUGAGGUGUGAUGACGAGGCACUACGGUGCUGAAGUAACAAAUGCCCUGCUUCCAGGAAAAGCCUCUAAGCAUCAGGUAACAUCAAAUCGUACCCCAAACCGACACAGGUGGUCAGGUAGAGAAUACCAAGGCGCUUGAGAGAACUCGGGUGAAGGAACUAGGCAAAAUGGUGCCGUAACUUCGGGAGAAGGCACGCUGGUGUGUAGGUGAAGUCCCUGCGGAUGGAGCUGAGACCAGUCGAAGAUACCAGCUGGCUGCAACUGUUUAUUAAAAACACAGCACUGUGCAAACACGAAAGUGGACGUAUACGGUGUGACGCCUGCCCGGUGCCGGAAGGUUAAUUGAUGGGGUUAUCCGUAAGGAGAAGCUCUUGAUCGAAGCCCCGGUAAACGGCGGCCGUAACUAUAACGGUCCUAAGGUAGCGAAAUUCCUUGUCGGGUAAGUUCCGACCUGCACGAAUGGCGUAAUGAUGGCCAGGCUGUCUCCACCCGAGACUCAGUGAAAUUGAACUCGCUGUGAAGAUGCAGUGUACCCGCGGCAAGACGGAAAGACCCCGUGAACCUUUACUAUAGCUUGACACUGAACAUUGAGCCUUGAUGUGUAGGAUAGGUGGGAGGCUUUGAAGCGUGGACGCCAGUCUGCGUGGAGCCAACCUUGAAAUACCACCCUUUAAUGUUUGAUGUUCUAACGUUGGCCCCUUACCGGGGUUGCGGACAGUGUCUGGUGGGUAGUUUGACUGGGGCGGUCUCCUCCCAAAGCGUAACGGAGGAGCACGAAGGUUAGCUAAUCCUGGUCGGACAUCAGGAGGUUAGUGCAAUGGCAUAAGCUAGCUUGACUGCGAGCGUGACGGCGCGAGCAGGUGCGAAAGCAGGUCAUAGUGAUCCGGUGGUUCUGAAUGGAAGGGCCAUCGCUCAACGGAUAAAAGGUACUCCGGGGAUAACAGGCUGAUACCGCCCAAGAGUUCAUAUCGACGGCGGUGUUUGGCACCUCGAUGUCGGCUCAUCACAUCCUGGGGCUGAAGUAGGUCCCAAGGGUAUGGCUGUUCGCCAUUUAAAGUGGUACGCGAGCUGGGUUUAGAACGUCGUGAGACAGUUCGGUCCCUAUCUGCCGUGGGCGCUGGAGAAUUGAGGGGGGCUGCUCCUAGUACGAGAGGACCGGAGUGGACGCAUCACUGGUGUUCGGGUUGUCAUGCCAAUGGCACUGCCCGGUAGCUAAAUGCGGAAGAGAUAAGUGCUGAAAGCAUCUAAGCACGAAACUUGCCCCGAGAUGAGUUCUCCCUGAGACUUUAAGUCUCCUGAAGGAACGUUGAAGACGACGACGUUGAUAGGCCGGGUGUGUAAGCGCAGCGAUGCGUUGAGCUAACCGGUACUAAUGAACCGUGAGGCUUAACCUU
Molecule: ribosomal RNA, 2901 nt
Filed under: Klebsiella pneumoniae
Lineage: Bacteria; Pseudomonadati; Pseudomonadota; Gammaproteobacteria; Enterobacterales; Enterobacteriaceae
Description: bacterial LSU rRNA
Rfam family: Bacterial large subunit ribosomal RNA
Source: RNAcentral